GAUUAUAGCGAAGAGCCUUACCAAAUCUUGACAUCCUUUGAAAACUCUAGAGAUAGAGCCUUCCCCUUUGGGGGACAAAGUGACAGGUGGUGCAUGGUUGUCGUCAGCUCGUGUCGUGAGAUGUUGGGUUAAGUCCCGCAACGAGCGCAACCCUUAAGCUUAGUUGCCAUCAUUCAGUUGGGCACUCUAGGGAGACUGCCGGUGACAAACCGGAGGAAGGUGGGGAUGACGUCAAAUCAUCAUGCCCCUUAUGACUUGGGCUACACACGUGCUACAAUGGCCAGUACAAAGAGCAGCUAACCCGCGAGGUCACGCAAAUCUCUUAAAGUUUUUCUCAGUUCGGAUUGUAGUCUGCAACUCGCCUACAUGAAGUCGGAAUCGCUAGUAAUCGUAGAUCAGAAGCCGACGAUCC
This 412-nucleotide ribosomal RNA is filed under the name uncultured Staphylococcus sp. Its description in RNAcentral is "bacterial SSU rRNA". It matches the Rfam family "Bacterial small subunit ribosomal RNA", at positions 953 to 1363 of the family's 1533-position model. The record is from RNAcentral. Lineage: Bacteria; Bacillati; Bacillota; Bacilli; Caryophanales; Staphylococcaceae.